ACGGGAAAUGAAGUGUUAAAAGAAUAUCUCUCACUCACUGAAGGCAAAAUUAUUCAAGUUAAACCCUCAUAAGUAACACAUAAUGAGGAAAUGGAUACUAAGAAAUUUCUACACGAACAAAACCUUUAUGAUAAAUAAUGAAGAGUGUUUUCCUGCUGGCAUUUCAGGUUUAGUAAUUUCCUCGACUGCUGACUCUAAGCUGUGCCGGUAACAUUAAAAGUGUCAAGUAUUUAUUUAAUGUGUCUAGAAUUAUGGAAUGAUUGUGUGUGCCGUGAAUUUUUGGUUUGGAAUUCUAGUUUAAUUUAUGUGAUCUAUUUUUCUUCACUGCUAAAAUUUUGCCGUGCUGGAAACAUGAAAAAAAAGUGUCGUGUUAAUUUAAAGUGUUUAGGAUUAUGGGCUGAUUGUGUGUCUUGAAUGUGUCUUACUGCAUAAAAAAGCAAGUCUAGGCUGAUAUGUUUUAGUCCACAAUUUUACACGGACAAGAAAAUAAAAUGUGGUAGUGAGAGAUUCGUAUAAGUAAGGUAGUAUAAUAGUAAGCAGGGGUGUGGGGUCGGAAAUGGAGUCAGAAUCGGAGUCACUGGAGUCGAUCACUUUUGGCCAGAGUUGGAGUUGAUAUUAGUGUUUUUUUUUUUUUUUCUAUUCCAGUUUUAUUUUAUUUCAUAGUCACUGGAGUCAAUUACUUUUGGCAGGAGUUGGAGUCAAUAUUGGAGUCAUUAUUCAUUUUCUAUUCCAACUUUAUUCUAUUUUAUUUAUUUAUUGAUUUUUUUACUGCAAGGGAGACAGCUCAAGGGGCAUUAAAACCAAAUUAGCAACAAAAAACCCCGCCAGGCGCUGCUCCAAUACAUAUAUCUCCAAUUCCAACCUUCUUUUCAAUACGUGUGAUGUGUUGUGGCUGGGUGGUGUGUGGUGUGAUUUUGCUGGGUUAAAAUACCUUACCACCACAGUACUGCAGAAGAGAGGAAGGGGGAGAAGGGUGAAGUCAGAGUUGCAACCUUCGAAUUUCAUAGUCUAGGUUAGGUUAGGUUAGGUUAGGUUAGAGAGUCACGAUCUUAAAAUCUCCUUUGGUCAGAACCUUCACAUUUUGUAGUCUAGGUUAGGUUAGGUUAGGUUAGGUUAGGUUAGAGAGUCACAACCUUAAAAUUUCCUAUUGUUAGAACCUUAAAAUUUCAUAGUCUAGGUUUGGUUAGGUUAGGUUAGGUUAGGUUAGAGAGUCGCAACCUUAUAAUCUAUCGUCAGAAUCGCAGUCGAGUUGAUUUUCUUUACACCUGACUCCACACCCCUGAUAGUGAGUUAACUGCGGCACGAAAACUGGCAUUCAAAAUAUUACUGUGGAUUCGGCAGCUGUGACGGGCAGGAACCUUGAUUAUUUCCAUCACAGCUGGCUUUGAUUUUACUCUUAAUCUCACUGCAACAAAGCUUUACGAUUAUUAUUACCUCCUCUAACAAUGCAUUAUAUAUAGGUCAGAUCAAACUCCACACCCCUGAUAGUAAGUUAACUACGGCACAAAACUGGCCUCUGAUAUAUUACUGUGGACUCGUCAGCCGUGAGGGGCAAGAACUCUGAUUAUUUACAUUACAGUUGGCUUUGGUUUUUGCUGUUAAUCUCACUGCAACAAAGCUUUAUGAUUACUAUUACCUCCUCUAACAAUGCAUUAUUAAUAGGUCAGUUUGCUGAAUGUGAUUUGUAUGUAUUUUUCACUUUAAUAUCAAACUGGAGUCUUUUUUUUCUACCACCUUUUGUUCUGUAUGUGUUUUAUAUGGAUUUUUCACUUUAAUAUCAAACUGGAGUCUUUUUUUUCUACCACCUAAUGUUCUGUAUGUGUUUUAUAUGCAUUUUUCACUUUAAUAUCAAACUGGAGUCUUUUUUCUACCACUGAUUGUAUUGAGUUAGCAAGGUUUGUUUACCCUCCGCACAAUGAACGUUGCCAGACUGUCGUACUCAGCCUCUUGUGUUUGCUGAUUUCUAACCCCAAAGACUAUUACUGCCAUUCUCUUUUUCUAAUAAUUCUUCCCUUUUCCUAUUCUCCUUUUCUAAUUAUUCUUUUUCCUGUUCUCCUUUUCUAAUUAUUUUUCCUGUACUCCAUUACUCGUCCAUCCCAAUAACUUUUUUUUUUUUCACAUCAAAGGAAACAGCUCAAGGGCAAUAAAAAGAGUGCAAAAAAUAAGUCCGCUACUCACCGCUCCCGUAAACGAUAAAAGUAAAGAGUAGCCAAGAGGGUAGUCAAUUUCGGGUGGCUUCAUAUAAAGUCAUCGUUAAAAUGGUUACUCAUUGGUGUUCCCUGGCAAUAGUUAUGGGUCGGAAAACGGCAAAUGCGAUGCUCGGAUUUCGAUAGUCUGGCAACGGUGCUUGUGAUUAGAUUCUUCGUCAAUUUUCUGAAUGUCUUUUGUAUUUAUUUUGUACUUUGAUACUGGAGUUUUUUGUACCUUUUCUCACACUUUCAUACUCUCCUCUCGCACCAUCUUGUGUCGGUCCGUUUUCUGAGUGCAAUUUCUGUCUACUUUUCUGGGCGGAAUCAUCUUCAAACCACCCUUCUCGGUACAUAGUUUUACAGUAACAAUUUUCACAACCAAGUAAUAACUAUGUGUUUUGCCGUGCUCAGAAUUAACGAUCUAGCUAUGUCAUAUUCCGCUGUUCUUUUACGUAAAUUACUGUUCACGUCGCUCACAACUCAACUAAGCAAUAAUAUGUUUCGUCACGCACAACACAAAUAAUGACGUCCUCUGGCAGUCAUGUGUUCCAUCACGCACAACACACACAACACACACGCUUGCAUCCCACUCAGAGCUAUAACUUAAGUCCGUCCAUGCCCUGUGCUUGUCAGCCUCGUAAGAAAGGAGUGUUCUGUUCCCACAAUAAUAGAAUGGCUGUAUGUACAUGGCAGAAAGGUUGUAGGGACUUAACUCAGCUCACAUACCCAUGCUCUGUUCAACUACUGCCUUUGGGAAGAAAUCUUGGCUGUAAGGUCUGUAAAAGGUUGAAAAAUAUAUAGAUAAAGGUGGUAAUAUUGCAAGCUUGUAUAUGUUAGAGGUCAUACAGACUGACCUCCUCUGACAGACCCACAGGAGAGAGGAAAUAAUUUGUCUGUAAUGGAUGUAGAGGCUGCUAAACUAACUGACAUCUUUAUACCAGAACUGUGUAGCUACUGUCUCUUGAAAUAUCUUGGCUGUUAAUGCUAAAAGAAGGUUUGUAAAUGAUGUAGAGGCUGCUAAACUAACCGACAUCUUUAUACCAGAACUGUGUAGCUGCUGUCUCUUAAAAUAUCUUGGGUGUUAAUGCUAAAAGAAGGUUUGUAAAUGAUCUAGAGGCUGCUAAACUAACCGACAUCCUUAUACCAGAACUGUGUAGCUACUGUCUCUUGAAAUAUCUUGGCUGUUAAUGCUAAAAGAAGGCUUGUAAAUGAUCUAGAGGCUGCUAAACUAACCGACAUCUUUAUACCAGAACUGUGUAGCUACUGUCUCUUGAAAUACCUUGACUGUUAAUGCUAAAAGAAGGUUUGUAAAUGAUGUAGAGGCUGCUAAACUUACUGACAUCUUUAUACCAGAACUGUGUAGCUACUGUCUCUUGAAAUACCUUGGCUGUUAAUGCUAAAAGAAGGCUUGUAAAUGAUCUAGAGGCUGCUAAACUCACUGAUAUCCUUAUACUACAUCUGGGUAACUACUGUCUCAAGGAAAUAAUAUGUCCGUUAAUGCUAAAAGAAGGCUUGUAAAUCAUCUAGAGGCUGCUGAACUUACUGACUCACUACUUACUGGAGCUGUGUAAUGUUUGCCUUUCUCAGAGAGUGAAAAUAUCUUAACUGUGUCACAGGGAGAUAGUUUAAGGUGUUAUGGUGAUUAAAAUGAUGACGAUUCUUU
Long non-coding RNA from Eriocheir sinensis (Chinese mitten crab), 3852 nucleotides. RefSeq lists it as uncharacterized. The record is from RefSeq and is a predicted model, not a curated record. The transcript is spliced from 2 exons. Lineage: Eukaryota; Metazoa; Arthropoda; Malacostraca; Decapoda; Varunidae.